GAAUGAAGAUAGGCGCAGGGAAUACAAAAUUCUCUGAAAGUCUGCUGCCUAUGAGGAAGGCUUUCAACAAUACAUUCAUUGUUGCUGGUGGUUAUGACAGGGAAGAUGGAAACAAAGCUCUUGAAGAGAACCGUGGAGACCUUGUCGCUUAUGGUCGCUUGUUCUUGGCAAAUCCAGAUUUGCCGAGGAGAUUUGAACUUGAUGCUCCUCUCAACAACUACAACAGAGAAACAUUUUACACACAUGAUCCUGUUGUUGGUUACACUGAUUAUCCUUUCCUUGAAGCCUCUGCGUAGGGUUUUCAGUCACCGUAGUCGAAACUUGUAUUCUCUAAUUCAUUCAAUUAUUGUUUCUAUGAGUUUAAAUGUUAUAAUUCAAUAAUAAAAGUAGAUUGGAGACCAGCAAUACACAUUUCAGAUUGAACUGGAUACUAUGAAGUAAUACAGUUUUCAAUUACAAUAGAUAUUUGUAAGAAAGAUAAAAAUUUAAGUUAUAAAGAAAAAAAUAGUAUUUUUUAUCCGAAUUUUCCUUUUUGAUUCAUGUAUUUUUUUUAUUUUGACAAAAAUAAAUAUUUUUUUGUUAGUAAUAUGUUUUUAUAAAUAAAAAUUAAAGGCAAUUAAAAUAAAAAUGUAUAAAAAAUCUUAAUAAUUUAAAUUAUGAAAACAAUGUAUAUUUUUCAAUCAAAACGCUUUCUAUAUUCAUGUAUUUUGUUUUUGAUAAAAAUGUGAUUUUUAUUAGAGGUAUAGUUUUUUUUUAAAAAAACAAAUUAUCAUAUUUCAUAAAAAAACAAAAAACAAUCAUGACUCAAUAAUUUUUAUACUUGUAUAAAACAAAUAGAGUAAUUAAUGUGAUGAAAUUAUAUAAAAUAUUUAAAAUAAAAAAUAAAUAUUUUAUUUCCUUUUAAAUAUUCAUUAGUAUAUUAAAAACAAUUUGUGUAUUGGGUUCAUAUAGUAAUUUAUAUUCCCAUAAAAGAUCUAAUAGUUAGAUAAUGUUUUAAGUACAAUUUUAAUAAUUGUUUUUAUAUUGAACUUUAUGCUAAAUUAAAAUAAAUAAUUACAAAGAAAGUUAAAUAGCUUUUUAAAUAGAGGCUAGGGUCUUGGGCUUAAAAGGACAAAUCCACAAGACUAGCUUAAAAAAACAAUUAUAGGUGGAUUUAAAUUUUUUUAUUUGUUUUUUUUAUAGAAAAAAAAUGUUUUUGAGAGCUAUUUUAAAUAAAAUUUGGGUAAAUAAUGUAUCAUCAACUAUGUAAUUUAUGUUACCUCCAAUGAUAAAAAGAAAAAAAAGAAAAAAAAGAAGAAGAAGUAAGGUUUAAGUUUUUAGAUUUUAGAAAUCAAUUUUAAAUUUAUUUUAACCUAAAAUCACCCCAAAAACAUUAAAAGAUUCUUAGGAAACCAUCUUUGACCAUAAAAUACCCUUUGACCAAUUUAGAAUAAAAAAUAAAUGCAAAUAAAAAACUUUUAUGAUUAUCGAUAUACUUUUAUAAUUAUUUAAGGGAGAAAACAAUUUCAUCAAAAUUUCUAUUCAAAGUGAAUCCAUUGACAUUAAAAAUAGUCUUAUUAGUAACUAGAAUGUGGGUAGCUGAAAAGUUUCUCUCUUCUUCUUUUUAUUAAGUGACUUUCUCUCUUAUUUCUUAACAUAUAGUGAUUAAAAUACAAGGAAAAUAAAGUUUCAAAACCAAGAUGCAAACUCUUGAAACUACAUGAACUAAAUAAAUGGAAAAACAAAUUCAGGAAUACUCGAUUAACAAUUGCAACAAUUUGAGUCUUAGGUUAUAAUAGUUAAACAAUUUUGUUUCAUCUGAUAAAAAUAAACCUUUGAAAAUUAAUAGAAAAUAUAAAACAUGGAGUUACAACCUAGUUUUUUUAAAAACUAAGAAUCUUAAAAUAUAGAUUGGUUCCAAAGAUCGUAGAAAGAGAUUGAUUAUACUUAAGGGAAUAUAAAAAUCACAUUUACCAUAUUCCUUUCUGAGAAGAUGUUACUUUAAUUAUGUGUUUCUCCUAUAUUAAUUUUACAUGUUAUUUACUGUCUAAAUUAUAUUCCCAGCUUAUUCACAAAUCGUUUAGUUUUUAUAGAUGCUCAUAAAGUUAAUAUGAGACCAGAAAUCACGAGUCUCGCAACUUGAUGAUUUUAUUUUUAGUUUUUUAUAUAUAUAUUUCUUGACUUUUUUAUCAUCACUAUUUAUUAUUUAUUUUAUUACAAAACAAAGUUGAAAACAAUACUAUGCUUGAUCCGCGUUGGACCCUACUCAAAGGAUACUUGUGGACUUACUAUUGACCUUGUUAUUAGUUUAAAACAUCAUGAUAGGCCCACGUCGACCCUAAAACUUGAAGACACGUCAACUUAACCAUUAAAAUCCAAAUUUAAGCUUAAUAAAAACUUGAUGUUAACUUGACCAAAACUCAUCAACCCAUUAUUAAACUCAUUUUAAGGUUAAAAUAUCAUGUUAGGUCUAUAUCGGUCUCUAAAAACUAAAACACAUCAUCGAUCUAGCUGUUAGGAGUCAAAUUUAAUAAAAAACAUUACUAUACCCAUCAACAUUAUUUUUAUUUUUUGACAAAUAUUUAUAUGCUCAUAUAUAUGUAAAAAUAAAAAAAGAUGCAAUUUUAUAAAAUUAAAUAACAUCAACAUGAAAAAAAUAAAAAAGACAAGAAAGCUAAUCCACUUUAUCCUCUCUUUCUGAAAGUUCCCUCUGGGGGUCUGACCCUCCGCUACCUAAUAUUCCUAACUAAUUGAAUUCAUCAGUCUAUAAGGCUUUUAGUCACUAUGGUCUCUUUCAUCUCGUCCCUUGACCACUUCACCUUCUUUCUUAUUUCUUCUUAUGUUGGUAAAGAUCCAAGCAAUAAGAAUUGUUAUCUUUAAAAGAGAAUAAAUCCAUCUGUCUCCUCAUUAGUCUCAGCAUCAACAGUAGUGCUACUCAUCUCCUCCAACAUAGGAAGGCGAUAAUCCGGGUAGGGCGGCUUUUCGAGAAGCAGAAAGCGGUAAUUUGAUUUCAUACUUUGUUUGGCCUCAUUAAAAAAGUAAAGGGCAGGAGAGGCUGGCCUUCUUUGAUCGGAAAAUGCUGCCAAAAUGGUCAGAAAAAUAAAAUAAACAUGUGUAUUAUUUGCAUUUAUGAAUAGUAAAUAAAAAGGAAGAAAUGAGAGAGAAGAAGUUGCUUUGCAUUAAGGACUUGACUUACCUUGAGGCUAGUUCAAAAUGAGGAAGGAGUUUCUUUGGUGACAAUAAUGGUGUGUAUCAGCAAUGGUGUGGUUCUCGUUCUCGAGUGGUCUUCUCUCUCUACUUCAGGUUUUUAUUUCUCUUAAGAUUUAGCUUUUUUUCUUUGGUUUUUUCUUCUUCUCAUUCUUUUCCCCUUGCUACUAGCCGUUCAGAGCAUCUUUAUAUACCUUUAUUUUCAACCCAAACUCUCUCUCUCUCUCUCCUCUCUCUCUCUAGGUUUAAGCUUUCCUUUCUCUCUAUUUUCUUCUUCUUCUUGUUCCUCUAAUACCAUUUGGAUUAGAUUAAAUUCUUUUUUAUUAGCUCAAACUCUCAUUUAAUCAAUGAACUAAAUUUGUCGGUAAUUCUAUCUAUAAAAAUGACAUGUCAUAUUACUUGUUAGGUUUUUUUUUUUCAUUGUAAUUCUCUUAAUAUAUACCAAGGUAAUAUUUCUGUCGAUGUUUACCGAUGGAUACAACAAGAGCAUAUUCAAUUGUAAAAAUUUGCCGCUAUAUACCCACACAAAUAUUUCAUCAGUGUGUCCAUAUGCAUUGAUAAUUUUUAAUAGUGUAUUCAAAGAAUUAUAUAACUUGUUUUGAUGAUGAUGAUGAUAAUGAAAAACUACACCUUUCCAUGAUUCAAAAUAAACCCUCUAUUUUUUUUUUUAAAUUUAGUUGUCUAUAUAGAAGUUGAUUACAUCUAAAACAUAUAAAUAAGUCCAAGUCUUGUAAAUUAAAAGGGAACUGGGCCGCACUACCAUAAUCGUUGAUGAAAGAUACAAAAUUAUUAAAUAUUAUGAAUCUUCUUAUCAAGCUAGAAACAACCAUUGGACUUGAAUUUAAAAUUAGAUCUAAAUACAAAGUCUAGAUCUAUAAACACACACAAAAAAAACAUAAUUUAAAACCAUGAAUAAAUAAAUAAAAAUGAUGUUAUUGCUAGUUAUUUACUAAAUGAUAGCUUUAGAAAAAACCAGGUUUAAGAUUUUUUUUUUAAGAGUCAGAAACAAAGGCGAGAGGCAUAAAAUUUUAAAAGUAUUUUUAAAAUAAAAUAAAAUAUUUUGUUAUUGUUGAAAGUUUUUUUUAUAUAUAGUAUAGAAUCGUAUAAAAGAGUUGACAUUAUUUAAAAAUAUCAAAACAUUAGCCCAAAAACAAUUAUAGUUGUUGGGUAUAUAUACAUUGUGCUUAUAAAUUUUUUUGUUUUUUGAGGUUUAGAGUUGUUUUUCCAUUGUUUAUAGUCAUAACAAGUGUUAUAUAACAUUUGAUUAUAACUUAUAACUUCAAAAUACAAUAAAAAAAUCAAUACAAGAACUUUAAUAUUUUGAUUAAAUAUUUAUCUUGUUGUUCUAAGAUUAAGGCAACAAUAACACCUAGGAGAUGAAUUAUGUGUUCCAAAGAUUUAAAUUUUAAAUUUUAAAAUAAAAAAGCUUUAAAAUUUAAGUUCUGAAAUUAAAAAGAUUUGAAAUUUGAGUAUCAAAAUAAAAUAAAAAUUUCAAAAUUGAAAUAAAAAUAAUAAUAAAUGGGAAUUUAAUGCUUAGGGUUUCAAGAUUCAAGGAGCAACAUUAUAAAUAGGUGUGAAAAAAAGAAGCUAUCUUUUGUUGUUGAUAAAAUAUUUUAUAUGAAGUUAUAUUUAAGGUAAAACCUAUGUGUAAAUGAUAACUACCUUAUGAUGAAAUGGAGUUAAGUAGAUUCAAUAAUUACUAGAAUUCAAAGAGAACAUUAGUAGUAUUUUAAAAUUCAAAAAAGAUAAAUUAUAAAUAAUAAGUAAAUUUUUAACUUUCCAUGAUAAAUAGUAAGUAAAUUCAAACCUAGGUCAUGAGACCAAAUAACCCAAUAGAAAAGAAAACUAAAACAAAUUAUUAAAUUUAAUUAUCAAUCAACCAAAUAUUGAAAAAUAAAAUUGACUGGUUAACCUAAGUUGACUCGAUUCAUUUUAUUUAUUUAUUUUAAUUGGUUUGUUUUUUUAAUUUCAUCCUUCAACAUUGAAUUUAUUAAGAAUUGAGUUUUAUAAUUUAUUUUGAAUUUGUUUUUUUAUGAGAUUAUUAUGGUCUCUUGACUCGACAUGCGGAUUAAUAGGUUAACUCGAGUUGAUUCGAAUCGAUCCUAAAUGUUAUAAUCUCAAUAUUAAAAAACAAAAUCUCAUAUUGAAUAUUUGUUUUUAGUCAAACUAUAUUUUUACCAGUCAUUUAGUUUGCCUUUAAAUCCAUCAAGUUAAUUGGGUCACACAUCAUGUCAAUCCUCAUACGUUUAAUUAUUUUUUUCAACUAAAAAUACAUUAAAAUUUUUAAAGUUACAAUUUUUUUUUAUCCAACCCCAAAAUAUCUAUUAUUUUCUAAAGGAUUGAAGAAAAGGCAUGAAGCAAACAAAUUACAAAUGAUUUAGAGGAUUUGAAAUUAUAUUUCGAUACUACUAAUUAUUGCUAUAAUAUCAUGUGACAAGCUCAAAUAAAUUUAAUGUUUUACAAAAAAAAAAAAAAAAACUAUACAAUAGAUGAAAAAAAAAGUGUAGUCAUCUCCUAUAUUAGUAAAUGUAUCAAAGUUGUGUUGUGAGUAAAAUCUUAGAUUAAUCUCGAACGAAAAAAAAACCAAUAUUAUAACUUUAUUUUUUGAUAUUAUAAAUUUUUUUAACAGAGAAAUGAAAAGCUGAUGUCUGAUUUUAAUAUAAUAAAUUAAAAUAUAUUAAUUGAUAAAUAAAUAAAAAUUAAAAAUGCUAAUUAAAAACUAAAACUAGUUCUUUUCAAUAAAAAAUAGAAGAUACGUACAAAUGAAAAUAUUUUACCUCGUAAUCAUUUCAAUUUUCAUUUGUACCAUUCUCAGCUAGCUAAUGGUAUCUCAAACGGAGGACUCAAAUUGGAAUUGGAAUAGAUAGUAGAGGGACAGACAAUGCAUGAAAGUAACAGCUGGGGGACUCAAUUAAUCAAAAUGAAAUAGUACAAGGACCACAUAUGAUUUGUAUUAGAACAGUAGCAACUCGUCCGUGGGCUGAAUGACCACUAUCUGAAUUCUUCUAUUUCUGCGUCCAGGUUCAAAAUAAUUAUAAUAAAGAUGAAUUCUACCUUCAAAUUGGUUCCCUCCUCUGUAAUACGUACCUUCAAACGUCAUCACUUUUUUUUUCAAAGUCAAAAAGAAGCAUUUAAAACUAAAAUAGCCCCCUACGCUUACCUGGUUCUCUCAUACCUACUCCAACAAUUUCUUGGUGAACAAACACAAUAACAAGUAAUCAACUGCAGAAAGAAUGGUUGCUGGGACUCCCACGAUGCCUCUUCUCACCCCAUACAAGAUGGGCAGGUUUAAUCUUUCUCACAGGUACUUGAUUACUCACGUUAUCUCCCUUUUCUUUAAUGUACAGUAUGAUUUCGUGUAUAUCCAUUUCCUUGAGUUUGCAUGGUUUGAUGUAGAUGACACGCUGUGAUCUCAGUUUGCUUUUCUGUUUUCAGCAGCAAAAUGCUGCUUUUGUAUUCAGAAUUCUUCUGUGAAGUCUUGUUGAUCAUUAAAAAUCGAUAUGUAUGACACGAAGAAAUUAGUAUAUGACCUUUCCUUUUUCUUUCUUCUUGAUUUUUCUGUUUCAUUUGAUAUGUUGGGUAAUGAAUUUGUUACAAGAUCAUCCAAAACUUUUUGGCUAUUGGGUCAAGCUUUAGGUAAUUUACCCUUUUCAUCACCAACUCAUGGCCGGGAAAUAUAAGCAUGUAAAUUCCCAGGUUAAAUAAAUAGUUAAUGCAGUGGAUAUACUGCUUUCUUUGAAAAUCAUUUUAAUUAUAACUACUUCGGUGAUUUCAUGUUUUUUUCAGAAUUGUCCUGGCACCAUUGACUAGACAGAGAUCUUACGAUAAUGUUCCUCAGCCGCAUGCCGUUCUAUACUACUCCCAGAGAGCAACAAAGGGGGUCUUCUGAUAUCUGAAGCCACUGGAGUUUCUGACACAGCACAAGGGUAAUUCAUCAGCCAUGCCUGAUGCCAUACUCAAUCAAAUUCAAUAUUAAUUUGAUCUUGUUACACUGACACUUCAGUGUGUUCAUAAUCUUACAUAUGAAUAUAUAUAGGUACCUACAUGCUCCAGGUAUUUGGACCAGAGAGCAAGUCGAAGCAUGGAAACCCAUUGUGGAUGCUGUCCAUGCCAAAGGAGGUAUUUCUUCUGUCAAAUUUGGCAUGUUGGGAGGGUGUCAAAUAGCGGUGAGUUAUUGCCUUAAUCUCUUUGAUGCAUAAAUUUUAAUUCUGGUAUGUUAAAGUUCUGUUUCCAGUAUCUGUAACAAUGAUUAAUGCUGCUUUGUUCAUGGGCUAUACUUGUUAGUUAACAUGAUUAGCAAAGUCAUUUUCAAAAAAUGAAAAGAUUAAUAUGGUUACUAAUUAAUUUUUCUAUAUUAUUGGCAUUUGCAGGUUUUCCAGCCAGAUGGGCAAGCUCCAGUCUCUUCUACAGACAAGCCAAUAUCUUCUCAACGAAGGCAUGGAGUUCACACCUCCGAGGCGUCUAAGGACAGAUGAAAUCCCUCAAAUAGUCAAUGAUUUCAGAAUUGCUGCGAGGAACGCAAUAGAAGCUGGUAAACUUUCUUUCUCAGAUAUUUUGGAAACUCUGAAUUUUAUUACAGGAUUUUAACAAGCUGAACAAUACACGAUUGCACAGCAUUUUAACAAGCUUGUUCUGCGCUUUUUAUAGGUUUUGAUGGAGUUGAGAUCCAUGGGGCUCACGGAUAUCUAAUUGACCAGUUUAUGAAAGAUCAAGCAAACAACAGAACAGACCAAUAUGGUGGAUCACUGGAGAACCGCUGCCGAUUCCCUUUGGAGAUAGUUGAGGCUAUAGCGAAUGAGAUAGGAUCAGAUAAAGUUGGAAUAAGACUGUCUCCUCAUGUAAACUAUAUGGAAUCAGAGACUCAGAUCCUGAAGCACUAGGGCUCCACAUGGUUAAAUCCUUGAAUAAAUACGGUAUUGCUUACUGCCACAUGGUUGAGCCAAGAAUGAAGAUAGGCGCAGCGAAUACAAAAUUCUCUGAAAGUCUGCUGCCUAUGAGGAAGGCUUUCAACAAUACAUUCAUUGUUGCUAGUGGUUAUGACAGGGAAGAUGGAAACAAAGCUCUUGAAGAGAACCGUGGAGACCUUGUCGCUUAUGGUCGCUUGUUCUUGGCAAAUCCAGAUUUGCCGAGGAGAUUUGAACUUGAUGCUCCUCUCAACAAGUACAACAGAGAAACAUUUUACACACAUGAUCCUGUUGUUGGUUACACUGAUUAUCCUUUCCUUGAAGCCUCUGCGUAGGGUUUUCAGUCACCGUAGUCGAAACUUGUAUUCUCUAAUUCAUUCAAUUAUUGUUUCUAUGAGUUUAAAUGUUAUAAUUCAAUAAUAAAAGUAGAUUGGAGACCAGCAAUAC
RNAcentral lists this long non-coding RNA (8537 nucleotides) under Populus tremula. RNAcentral's name for it is "long non-coding RNA (PTRE_LNC000811)". Lineage: Eukaryota; Viridiplantae; Streptophyta; Magnoliopsida; Malpighiales; Salicaceae. The record is from RNAcentral.